UACGUAGGGGGCUAGCGUUGUCCGGAAUCAUUGGGCGUAAAGAGCGUGUAGGCGGCCCGGUAAGUCCGCUGUGAAAGUCGGGGGCUCAACCCUCGAAUGCCGGUGGAUACUGUCGGGCUAGAGUGCGGAAGAGGCAAGUGGAAUUCCUGGUGUAGCGGUGAAAUGCGCAGAUAUCAGGAGGAACACCGAUUGCGAAGGCAGCUCGCUGGGACGUAACUGACGCUGAGACGCGAAAGCGUGGGGAGCAAACAGG
RNAcentral lists this ribosomal RNA (253 nucleotides) under uncultured bacterium. RNAcentral's name for it is "partial 16S ribosomal RNA". It matches the Rfam family "Bacterial small subunit ribosomal RNA", at positions 524 to 776 of the family's 1533-position model. The record is from RNAcentral.